Molecule: long non-coding RNA, 435 nt
Organism: Myzus persicae (green peach aphid)
Lineage: Eukaryota; Metazoa; Arthropoda; Insecta; Hemiptera; Aphididae
Exons: 3
Source: RefSeq, a predicted model, not a curated record
AUUUCUCUAAAGGAGUACUCUAGAGUCAGUACAGUAAUGUAUUUGAAGUCGAUAAUGAUUUGGAGGGACAAGACACAAUUGCAGACGAAGUAAAAGAGAUUAUGAAUCUAGCUGAAGACAGUUUUGUGAAACGUAAUAUCAAUGAAGAUAAAAAACACUAAUAAUAAUACUUUGGAACUGAAGAGAUAUGCAAAGGAUUCUUUACCGAGUACUAGGCGUGUUGUAAUGUGAUACUUUUUCAAAAAGAAACUUCUCAAUAUGUAUAGUUAUAAAGAAUAAAAUGGAAAAAAAGUGUUCUAAGCAUUAACAAUAUGUUGAGUUAUAUUUGACUCCAUCAAUCUAAUGAAUAAAUAUUUGAUACGAUUGGAAUAGAGACCCCACAAAGGAUUUUCAUUUCUGGUGCCAAAUUCUGAGAUGUCCCUAAAACUAAGACUA